This 464-nucleotide ribosomal RNA is filed under the name uncultured bacterium. RNAcentral describes it as "partial 16S ribosomal RNA". It matches the Rfam family "Bacterial small subunit ribosomal RNA", at positions 338 to 795 of the family's 1533-position model. The record is from RNAcentral.
CCUACGUGUGGCAGCAGUAGGGAAUUUUCGUCAAUGGGCGCAAGCCUGAACGAGCAAUGCCGCGUGAACGAGGAAGGUCUUCGGAUCGUAAAGUUCUGUUGAAGGGGAAAAAGAGCGGAGAGAGGAAAUGGUCUCCGAUUGAUAUUACCCUUCGAGGAAGUCACGGCUAACUACGUGCCAGCAGCCGCGGUAAUACGUAGGUGGCGAGCGUUAUCCGGAAUGAUUGGGCGUAAAGGGUGCGUAGGCGGCCUGCUAAGUCUGGGGUGAAAGGUACCGGCUCAACCGGUACAGGCUCUGGAAACUGGCGGGCUAGAGAUCAGGAGAGGGCGGUGGAACGCGAUGUGUAGCGGUAAAAUGCGGAGAUAUAUGGAAGAACACCAGUGGCGAAGGCGGCCGCCUGGCCUGUUACUGACGCUGAGGCACGAAAGCGUGGGGAGCAAAUAGGAUUAGAUACCCGGGUAGUC